This 425-nucleotide small RNA is filed under the name Pongo abelii (Sumatran orangutan). RNAcentral's name for it is "retained intron". The record is from RNAcentral. Lineage: Eukaryota; Metazoa; Chordata; Mammalia; Primates; Hominidae.
UGAAAGAUCUUUCCUGAAGCUGUUUAGGAAUAUUCAUGAUAUACCCUUAACUGUUCUAGAGAACAAAAUGUGUCUGUGCUCCUUCACAAAAGUCCCUAUGAAUUUGUUUCUCAAUAUGAUCCUUCUUAAGUUCUAUAACUUUUUGUUUUCAUUAAUUUUAGGAAAAUCCUGCCUUGCUUCGUUGGGCCUAUGCAAGAACAACAAAUGUCUAUCCUAAUUUCAGACCCACUCCUAAAAACUCACUCAUGGGAGCUCUGUAUGGAUUUGGGCCCCUCAUCUUCAUUUAUUAUAUUAUCAAAACUGAGAGGGAUAGGAAAGAAAAACUUAUCCAGGAAGGAAAAUUGGAUCGAACAUUUCAGCUCUCAUAUUAAGUCUGGCAAUGAUGACUAUAUGUAUUCCUGCCUAAAUAAAUCGUCUAUUAAUCA